GGAGGUUUGGGGUAAAUAUGAAUUGAUGAGAAUGAAUGGUUUUUUCCAUCUAAUAUGUGAUAUAAUUUGAAUUUUAUGUUUUAAUCAUUGAAUAAUUAUAGUAUGUUGAAUUCUGAGAUCGGAGGUUUUUACGGAAUCGAAAUCGGAGGCCCGAAAGGCCUCCAACGACAAAAAUAGGUUGCUGGGUUGUUUUCGUAGCCCGUAACCGGUUACCGAUACCACUGUUACGUAAAAAAAUUAGGAAAUUGAAAAUGACAUAACUUGAGCUUCG
Molecule: long non-coding RNA, 271 nt
Filed under: Lathyrus oleraceus (garden pea)
Lineage: Eukaryota; Viridiplantae; Streptophyta; Magnoliopsida; Fabales; Fabaceae
Description: Pisum sativum (pea) long non-coding RNA (PSAT_LNC016827)
Source: RNAcentral